GCCUGGCUGGCUUAGUCUGUAGAGCAUGAGACUCUUGAUCUUGGGGUCCUGAGUUCAAGCCCCAUGUCGGGCC
Molecule: transfer RNA, 73 nt
Filed under: Felis catus (domestic cat)
Lineage: Eukaryota; Metazoa; Chordata; Mammalia; Carnivora; Felidae
Rfam family: tRNA
About the family: Transfer RNA (tRNA) molecules are approximately 80 nucleotides in length. Their secondary structure includes four short double-helical elements and three loops (D, anti-codon, and T loops). Further hydrogen bonds mediate the characteristic L-shaped molecular structure. tRNAs have two regions of fundamental functional importance: the anti-codon, which is responsible for specific mRNA codon recognition, and the 3' end, to which the tRNAs corresponding amino acid is attached (by aminoacyl-tRNA synthetases). tRNAs cope with the degeneracy of the genetic code in two manners: having more than one tRNA (with a specific anti-codon) for a particular amino acid; and 'wobble' base-pairing, i.e. permitting non-standard base-pairing at the 3rd anti-codon position.
Source: Rfam by way of RNAcentral